ACAUACGACCACAGGGUGUGGAAAACAGGGCUUCCCGUCCGCUCAGCCGUACUUAAGCCACACGC
RNAcentral lists this ribosomal RNA (65 nucleotides) under Aspergillus nidulans. Lineage: Eukaryota; Fungi; Ascomycota; Eurotiomycetes; Eurotiales; Aspergillaceae. The record is from RNAcentral.